GGAGAGAUGGACAGUGGUCGUCAAGUAGUCUUGAAAACUAUCGCGGGUUAAACCGUUGCAGGUUCGAAUCCUGUUCUCUCCG
Molecule: transfer RNA, 82 nt
Filed under: Polaribacter sp.
Lineage: Bacteria; Pseudomonadati; Bacteroidota; Flavobacteriia; Flavobacteriales; Flavobacteriaceae
Description: tRNA-Ser
Rfam family: tRNA
About the family: Transfer RNA (tRNA) molecules are approximately 80 nucleotides in length. Their secondary structure includes four short double-helical elements and three loops (D, anti-codon, and T loops).
Source: RNAcentral